Molecule: ribosomal RNA, 692 nt
Filed under: uncultured Klugiella sp.
Lineage: Bacteria; Bacillati; Actinomycetota; Actinomycetes; Micrococcales; Microbacteriaceae
Description: bacterial SSU rRNA
Rfam family: Bacterial small subunit ribosomal RNA
Source: RNAcentral
GGCGAACGGGUGAGUAACACGUGAGUAACCUGCCCUUGACUCUGGGAUAACUGCUAGAAAUGGUAGCUAAUACCGGAUACGACCCUCGGCGGCAUCGCCAGGGGGUGGAAAGAAUUUCGGUCAAGGAUGGACUCGCGGCCUAUCAGCUAGUUGGUGAGGUAACGGCUCACCAAGGCGACGACGGGUAGCCGGCCUGAGAGGGUGACCGGCCACACUGGGACUGAGACACGGCCCAGACUCCUACGGGAGGCAGCAGUGGGGAAUAUUGCACAAUGGGCGCAAGCCUGAUGCAGCAACGCCGCGUGAGGGAUGACGGCCUUCGGGUUGUAAACCUCUUUUAGUAGGGAAGAAGCGAAAGUGACGGUACCUGCAGAAAAAGCACCGGCUAACUACGUGCCAGCAGCCGCGGUAAUACGUAGGGUGCAAGCGUUGUCCGGAAUUAUUGGGCGUAAAGAGCUCGUAGGCGGUUUGUCGCGUCUGCUGUGAAAUCCCGAGGCUCAACCUCGGGCCUGCAGUGGGUACGGGCAAACUAGAGUGUGGUAGGGGAGAUUGGAACUCCUGGUGUAGCGGUGGAAUGCGCAGAUAUCAGGAAGAACACCGAUGGCGAAGGCAGAUCUCUGGGCCAUUACUGACGCUGAGGAGCGAAAGCGUGGGGAGCGAACAGGAUUAGAUACCCUGGUAGUCCACGCCGU